GAGGAUAUAGCUCAGUGGUAGAGCAUUCGACUGCAGAUUGAGUGGUCCCCUGUUCAACCCCGGGAGUCAUCUUCU
This is a non-coding RNA of Trichonephila inaurata madagascariensis, 75 nucleotides long. The record is from the annotation of a GenBank genome assembly. NCBI's taxonomy places the organism in Eukaryota, Metazoa, Arthropoda, Arachnida, Araneae, Nephilidae.